UACGUAGGGUGCAAGCGUUGUCCGGAAUUAUUGGGCGUAAAGAGCUCGUAGGCGGUCUGUCGCGUCGGCUGUGAAAACCCGGAGCUCAACUCCGGGCCUGCAGUCGAUACGGGCAAACUGGAGUGUUGCAGGGGAGACUGGAAUUCCUGGUGCAGCGGUGAAAUGCGCAGAUAUCAGGAGGAACACCGGUGGCGAAGGCGGGUCUCUGGGCAACAACUGACGCUGAGGAGCGAAAGCGUGGGGAGCGAACAGG
Molecule: ribosomal RNA, 253 nt
Filed under: uncultured bacterium
Lineage: Bacteria
Description: partial 16S ribosomal RNA
Rfam family: Bacterial small subunit ribosomal RNA
Source: RNAcentral